CCCUUAGAUGUCCUGGGCCGCACGCGCGCUACACUGAACGGAUCAGCGCGUUUUCCCUUCCCGAGAGGGACGGGUAACCUGCUGAACCCCGUUCGUGGUAGGGAUCGGGGCUUGCAAUUAUUCCCCGUGAACCAGGAAUGCCCAGUAAGUGCAAGUCAUAAGCUUGCGUUGAUUACGUCCCUGCCCUUUGUACACACCGCCCGUCGCACCUACCGAUUGAAUGGUCCGGUGAACCCUCCGGAUCGGCUCGCGCCAACGCAAGUUGAGCAAAGGCCGAGAAGUUGGGUAAACCUUACCAUUUAGAGGAAGGUGAAGUCGUAACA
RNAcentral lists this ribosomal RNA (323 nucleotides) under uncultured eukaryote. Its description in RNAcentral is "partial 18S ribosomal RNA". It matches the Rfam family "Eukaryotic small subunit ribosomal RNA", at positions 1470 to 1796 of the family's 1831-position model. The record is from RNAcentral.